RNAcentral lists this ribosomal RNA (1569 nucleotides) under Triticum aestivum (bread wheat). RNAcentral describes it as "partial small subunit ribosomal RNA". Lineage: Eukaryota; Viridiplantae; Streptophyta; Magnoliopsida; Poales; Poaceae. The record is from RNAcentral.
AUGCCGAAGUCAUCGCCGCGGGCGCGGCCGCGGCACCACCACGCGCCGCCGGGCCUCUGCGCCCUGCCCGCCUUCUCCUACAACGCCCACCGCGGCCUCGUCCUCGGGCUCACCUUCCUCGCCUACGCCCUCUACCACGCCUCCCGCAAGCCACCCAGCAUCGUGAAGCGCGCGCUCUCCAAGUCGUGGCCGCCCUUCCACGACCCCGCCCUCCUCGGCGAGACCGACGUCGCGUUCCUCGCCUUCUACUCCCUCGGCAUGUUCGGCGCCGGCCACCUCGGCGAUCGCCUCGAUCUCCGCCUCUUCCUCGCCGCCGGAAUGGUCGGGAGCGGCGCCGCCGUCGCCUUCUUCGGCGCCGGGUACUUCCUCUCCCUGCACUCCCUCGCGUUCUACGUCUUCGCCCAGGCAAUCGCGGGCCUGCUGCAGUCCACCGGCUGGCCCUCGGUCGUCGCCGUCGUCGGCAAUUGGUUCGGCGGCCGGAGGCGCGGCCUCAUAAUGGGCAUAUGGAACGCGCACACCUCCGUCGGGAACAUCAGCGGCUCGAUCAUCGCCGCCGCCGUGCUGCGAUACGGGUGGGGCUGGUCGUUUGUGGUCCCCGGCGGGCUCAUGGCGCUCGGUGGCGUUCUCGUGUUUUUCUUCCUAGCGCCUUACCCGGAGGACGUUGGCUUCGCUUCGUGGCCCCCCAAGCAGGCCAGUGGAGCGAGCACCGACGAGGAGGACAGCAGCACCAGCACGGCCGGGGAAGAGGACAGGAGGGAUGCCGUAGGGAUUUUGAAGGCAUUUUCUAUCCCGGGGGUGCUCACCUUCGCGACCUGCCUCUUCUUUGCGAAGCUGGUCGCCUACACCUUCUUGUACUGGCUCCCCUUCUACUUGACCCAAACUGCUAUUGGAGGCGAGUACAUGUCGGUCACGGAUGCUGGUUAUCUAUCAGUUCUGUUCGAUGUAGGAGGAAUCGUUGGUGGAAUUCUUGCUGGGUUCAUGUCUGAUCAGCUCGAUGCUAGGGCCACUACUGCAGCAAUGUUUAUGUAUCUGGCGAUUCCAUCUCUUUACGCCUUUCAUGCAUAUGGCAGUACUUCAAAAGUGACAAACAUUGCCCUGAUGAUGAUCAGUGGCUUGUUUGUCAAUGGACCUUAUGCUCUGAUAACAACUGCAGUGUCUGCUGAUCUGGGGACUCACAAAUCUCUCAAAGGAGAUUCCCGUGCGUUGGCCACUGUCACAGCAAUCAUAGACGGGACAGGAUCGCUUGGUGCUGCCUUGGGGCCAUUUUUGACGGGCUUCAUCUCAAAAACUGGAUGGGAUUCAGUGUUCACGAUGCUUAUACUUUGUGCAUUGAUUGCCGGUGCGUGUUUAUCAGGUCUUGUGAAAUCAGAGAUUCAGGAGAUUAUUCAAAACUGGAGGAAUCGCUCAGGUAACACGCCGAAUGGAACUGCGGGUAAUGAUAAAGAUGCUCAGCUUGCAUUUAUCUUCAUUAUAGAGAUGGCAAAAUGUAGUGUCUUAUCUGUUACGCUGAUGUUGCCUUCCUCUUUAUCUCAUAGAUCCUGGUGCUCAACCGCUUUUAGAGGGGAGUAG